Long non-coding RNA from Amphiprion ocellaris (clown anemonefish), 5642 nucleotides. RefSeq lists it as uncharacterized. The record is from RefSeq and is a predicted model, not a curated record. The transcript is spliced from 7 exons. Lineage: Eukaryota; Metazoa; Chordata; Actinopteri; Pomacentridae.
UCGUUAGCUACCACCGUCUCUGCUAUAUUUCCUGGUGCUUAUAACAAAUAAGUAUAUCACAGCUGAGGUGAGGAAGAUGGUGUUUUAUUCCAGGGAGGAUCGGUAAAGUUUGACUGAGACAAACUGGACUCAUUCAGGAGGCUUUAUGACGAGUUAGCUAGCUAACGGACGGAAAUAAGCGUUAGCUCCGUUAGCUAGGUUAGCAUCCGUUAGCUAACGUCUCUUCAGUCAGACUGCGGCCACAGCGGCUGUUUGUGCUGCUGACAGCUGGAUUUUAGGACACAAACAGAGUCAACACGUGUGAGAGUCAUUCUAGCUGCUAGCUAACCGAGCUACUGUCUACUUAGUCAGCUUGACCUAGUUAGCUGUUAGUUAGCAGGUUUACAGCCAGGAAGACUCAGGACAAACUUUGUGCUGCUGAAUCACAGUGACAGUUGAUUUUAUUGACCCUGAUUAAAAUCCAUGUAAAGUAAAUGGUUCAAACCAUAUUCAGUUGGAAGGAUCCUAUUUUUAGCUGGAGUCAUGUGAUUUCCAGGAAUCAGAAGAAGAACAGCUCUGAGAACAGAAAGAGAAAGAGAAGUGAACAGUUCAGACUCCAUUUUACAGUGGACAGAGGAGGACAAUAAGACUGACUGAAGUCCACAAGAUGAGUGAUUGUGAGGAGGAGUUUCCAGCCUCCAGUCAUCUGUCCAUGAAGAGAUGAGAGGUCCCUCUCUAUCUCCCCACACAUCCACCAACCACUGGAACACAUCUCCAAAGUUCUGCUGCCAGCUCAGCUUCCCCUCAGAAGAAGUGCUGCCACCUGCCAGAUGAAGGAGCCUUUUGAGAGGCAGCUGGCAUCGUGAUUGGACUGUACUUUGGUCUGUUCCAAUCCAGCUUCAGCUCCAGAGACGGCAGGCGGGACGAGUCAACGGAGGCCGGAUGGACGAAGGCAUGCAGCUGAGUACAAUCCAGAAAACAACAGAGGAGGAGUGCAGCGGCCCAGAGCCAGAACAACCAGAGUAGCAUGACCAAAGAACUACAGACUCUUCACAACCUGCUCAAACUCUUGGUACAGGACCUCACCACACGGGUCAAGAAGGUUUCCAUCUCAUUUCUACUCUGAAGCUCACCUUCUCCUGUUCAAACUGCUGACAAAUGUUUGUGCUGCUCUAAAGUCUGGUCUCCAGAACUUCCUAAAAACUCUCAAAGUCUCUUCUGCUGCAGGUUGCUUUGUAGAACUGUUCCAGAAAACCUCACUAAACCACAUGGAGGGGCCUCAAGAUAGUCGUCCAAAUGAAACCAUACAAUAACCAAACUAGUACAACCCAAACGCUAAAGUCUCCUGCAGCCUACCAGAGAACCUCUGAGAACAGAGAAUCAGGACAGGAACUCUUACCUUCUGGACAACCAACGCUGGUUCUCAAACAAGAAUACAGAAUGUGUCUGACCAGAAACCUCUGAAGACUCACUACAGCCAAGACAAAGACACAACUCAGCUGCACCAAAUCCACUAAUCACUGCACACAUUAGCACCAUGUGCUAACUGUGGCUAAAGAGCCACAUUUACCAAGACAACUAUCCAGUACAAAGCCCUAAAACACACCAAGAAACAGAUGAUUUUACUGCUGGAAGCUGCAAGCCAACGCCUAAAGAACAAACUAAAGCAAUGGAACCAAACCCAGUUCUGUGGUGAAGAGAAACAGAGGAAAUGUUUGUCUGCAGCCACAUGAAGCAGGAAGACACUGAGCUGCUCAGGUGUUCCUGAUAACACCAAGCAGCCACCUGGACAGCCAAUAGGAACACAGCUUCCUGGAAGCCCAGAGGGCUGGCUUAGUGAAGGAAAUUUAAAGUUGAGGCAGAAAGUUAACAAAGAAAGUUGAAAACCACCUUCCGAUCCCUGAAAUCUCUGAGUUUUCACACAAAGAACACCUGAACAUGUCAAACUGGUUCCAUAGUAGAACCAUCAUUGUAAAAACGUCAUAGUAUGGUGUCUUGCUCAAAAAACAUUAGGACCCGGCUGUCUAGGGUUGCAGAGGAGCAACACAAAAACAGGACAAACGCUGGUUUCCAGGGGGUUGGGAGGCUAUUUAUUUGAAAGAGGAAGUUUACAACAACACAACAUGUGAGCAGAAAAAUCACAAAGUCUGUCUAUAGUUCAGCUGAAAAUAUUAGUUUUUGUCUUUUUUCUUUUCUUUUCUUACAGUUACAGAAAUGGUUUGAUUGCAGUGAUUGCCUCAAAAGGUUGUGCAAUAAAAUAUUAAGUUAAGGGUACCAUCAUUUUUAUCCAGGCCUGUUUCAUGAGUUUAUUUUUUAAAAUAAUUCUGUUGAACCACAGUUCAAAAGCAAUGUCUGAUUUUCAUUGGUUAAUUUUCAUGGAAUUUUUAUUAAUAUUUUUGUCAGAUUCAAAUUAUUUCUGUCACCAUUGUGGGCUUUUCUUUCAUUAACUGAGGGGUACCAACAAUUUUGUCCACAUGUGUAUACCAGUAAAACUUCACUGAUUUUUAUGUGAAUGGUCUUAAAGAAUAUUUUACAGAUGAAUGAUGACAGAUGAGGAGACAUCCUGUCCUGAAGAUGUCAAAAAUUGGACUGAAACGUCAUAGUUCAGUAUGUCGUCCAAAAUAUGAGAAAAACGUCGUAGUUUAGUAUGUCGUCCAAAAUGUGGAAAAAACCUCAUAGUUUAGCCUUUAGUCCACAAAACGUUGUUGUGUCCCGGCUGUCUGAAGUCGGUGAGGAGCAACACAAAAACAGUCCAAACGCUGGUUUCCAGAGGGUUAGACGAGUAUUUAUUUGAAAGAGUAAGUUUACAACAACACAACAUGUGAGGGGGUUAAAAGCAAAUGGGUGUUAGUAAAAUAAAAAUAAAUAAACAGAACUAAAAGUGAACUUCAUGUUGACAUUGAUGGGCAUUCCAACCAGGAACAAAGUAAAAGAUAAUCAAUACAAAAAAACACUCUUCCUGUUCACCUCUUUAAACCCCAAAACACACCGCAGUAGCAUCCUAAACUCAAACUACCAAUGGGUUCCCUGUUUUCCUUUGUGAACAAUUCAAAGGUCCCUCUCUAUCUCCCCACACAUCCACCAACCACUGGAACACAUCUCCAAAGUUCUGCUGGACCAGCUCAGCUUCCCCUCAGAAGAAGUGCUGCCACCUGCCAGAUGAAGGAGCCUUUUGAGAGGCAGCUGGCAUCGUGAUUGGACUGUACUUUGGUCUGUUCCAAUCCAGCUUCAGCUCCAGAGACGGCAGGCGGGACGAGUCAACGGAGGCCGGGUGGACGAAGACAUGCAGCUGAGUACAAUCCAGAAAACAACAGAGGAGGAGUGCAGCAGCCCAAAGCCAGAACAACCAGAGUAGCAUGGUGUGUCUCUUAGAAAACAUCAUAGUAGAGCCUUUGAUUUGAAAAAAACGCCAUCAUAUACAUCGUAUAUUGUACAAAUAACAAGUCAAAGGAAAGAGACAUACAUUGUAGAAUUGUAGUAAUUGUGGGCUGACUGAUUUACUGAUUAGCAGUAUUUUAUUUUUUACUGAUUUACAGUAAUAAAUCAAUUUAAAAAUGGUGCUACUUUGCCUCUGAACCUUUAUCUACCUGUGGUCGCUCUGUCUUCUGGAGUGAUUUGAUUGGUGUCCAGUAUAUCUACAAAAGUCUGCUGUCCUCCUCAGCCUCUCACUCCUGUGACGCUGCCAUCUGGGCACGGUAUUUGCCUGUCAUCUCUUUGGGCAGCGGCGUGGUGCCAGAAGCCAUACGUUCCAUUUAACCUGAAUAGUGUUGUGACUGGAUGUUACCAUUUCAGAAUUACACUGAUUAAUUUUUGGCGGGGGAAGGUGUGGUGGGUGGUGGAGGGCGGUGGGGGAGUAGAGGGGGGGAGGCCGCCCCCCACCUCCCCGCCUACUCUCCGCCCUGACUCCACCUUGGCUCCACCCAUGUGGUCACUUCAGGAACUACGAUGUCAAAGGGACGACGAAUUUAUGUCUUUGUAUCUGAUCUGUGGCGGUACCUGGAAGCCGCUCGUCCGUACGGGGGAGGCCAGUCGCGUCGCCCGAAUCAUCUUUCCCCGACCACUCACGUCACCCGGCCUUUCUUUUCAAAACCACUCAUAUCGCCUGCUCAUUCUUUUCGGGACAAAUCAGAACCGCCAGAUCAUCUUCCACCCCUCUGCUCUAAUCUGAUGCCCGGAUUCAUAUUUUGCCCCCCUCUGAUACGCCGAACACAUCGACCAAUCACGCGUUGGCGUUCAAAUCCCCAGCGCGCCGCCGACCGCUCUCUGUGUUUACGUUCGGAUAAACUACCGGAAAAAUACAAGCCGGCCCGGGUGAAACCGGGAAAAAAACUCUCAGCUAUUUCUGCCUUCAGGAGGUAAGGUAAACCCAGUAUGUCAUUGUCUGUAUUCACAGAAAAUAUGCAUUUUGGUGGCCGCCUGUCAGUAAAUGUCAGUAAAGGAAUGCUGACGUUAGGUCUGUGGCAUUAACUGCUUUUCUAAACAUAACGGCAAAUCUAAGUUUUGCUAGUUUGACCCACUGUCCGGAUAAUUCGGACAAUUAUGCUAAUGUGUCUUCAGUUAUAUGUGUUAUGCAUGCUAACUUACACACUUACUGAUCCCUGAAAUAUACUUUCAAUUACCCUUUCUCUCUGAUGUCGCCAUACUUUAAUUCGGUGCUGUCAUGGAUUGCCGAUUUGAGAUAUAAACAGCUUUGCUUGAUUGCUGUAGCAUAUUAACUCUUGUUUUCUUAUGAAACUGUAGGCUGCAGAGGUAAUACAUUAGCCUAAUUUGGCCAUUGCUUCAUAUCACACAUUUUUGAUUGCUUGAUAUUUUGCCUUGUAGCACUGUUAUUUCAGAAAAUGGCUUCAAAAAAGACACACAAGGCGAUGGAUGACGGAGUGUGGCUAUCUCGGCUGAGGUCAUUUUCCACCACAGGAGUCUGGCCAUCAAGUGCUGGGAACAGGCCUGCCCCAAGGCAAAAAAAAUGGCACGACCUCUAUCAUAAGAUCAAAAAGUGUCCUCUGCAACUGAGGGGCCAGAGGACCCUCGUGACAGAGCCACAGGGAUGCUCGUGUGGAUUUCAUACCCAGAAGGCACGGUCGAUUCAUUAAGAUGACUCCACAGUCGUGCAGUCUACUUAUGCAGUAUUAUAUUGUCGUAGAAAACUGAGAUAACACCAGCUGCUAGUUUCACCAAUCAUGACAAAAGAUUUUACUGACCAGCAGAGAAUUGUGUGUGCUGAGUGUGUUUUUGAUUAUUUUUAGUGCAGCUUCCAGGUACCUCUGGUCUGUCAGGGGCUAAAUCAAGCCUCAGACCUAUUUGCCCACAACCAGCAGCACCACAGCCACAGCUGUUUUGUUCUCCCAGUUACGUCCAUUUUGUGACACAGCCCAGUCCUCUCCCUGGUCCAAGUGCCUCAAGCACUACUGUUGACCAACCUGAUGGUGACGCAGGUGCAAAACGUAAAUAUAAUCGGACUGUCACAUCCAAUACUUGUGGGAAGUGCGGACAGUUUCGCACACAAGAGACUGGCCACAGUCAGUAUAAGGGCAAAAUAUAUUGCCCAAAUACUGAAACUGUAAGCAAGGAACAGUGGCUGAACAUGAUGAGGCAGAAAAUAAAGCCAGUGAACCUGUAAUCAUUCUGUUGUUGUUUGCCUCUGAGGAUUGUUGCUGUGAAGGAAA